AUGGACCGAGAGCCCAACAGCCAAGGCGCCAAAGAAGAGGAAAUAAAACGUCUCAGACGGUCAGACGCAGAGAAGCACACCUUCACCACUAUUGAAUCACGGCCAGUAUUGAAGGGACGACCAGCGUGGUCUUAAAUGAGGAACAAAGAAUAUAACAAGUGGGGGUAUAGUUCUAUCCCCGCUAUGUGUGAAGAGCAGGACUUUGAAACUUUACAAGCUCCUAGACUACAUAUCCUUGUCUUAUAGCUGUCAUGUGCCUUCCCGGCUGGUUGUUUCUUUUACAAUGGAACCUCAGGCUCAUGUAGCAUCAAAACCUCAAGAGUUCCUAUAGUGGUUAUUGAAGGAAACCAUGAAAUUCAGCGCUAAGUUGCUGGAAUCACUUUGAAAUCCUAUUUGACAAGGUUUUGAAUGCUGAAUGCCUCCAUAUCUGACCUAUCCUGGUGCCCCAAAAAUCAAGGUCUUACAAUCCUGUAAUGGGUUGCUUCUAUGUUCUGAACCUCCUAAUUCUAGAUUUGUCCAAUGUUUCUAUGUCUGCAAUCCCACCACUACAAAGUUCAAGAUCAUUCAUUAUCCUUAUCCUUAUCCGUUCAGGCACGCGCCAUAUGUUGUGUAUCCAGCUUUUGAUCCUUCCCAUUCCACUCCACUUCAAACUGGUGUGCAUUGUUGCAAGCAUUAAACUUGACAUCUAUGAUUCUCAGACCAACACUUGGAACACAUCCCCGGUAAAUUUGAAACCGCCUUAAACGACAUUCUUCGAUGCUGCUGUGUUUUCAGGCGAGCAAUUCACUGGUAUAGUUAUGAACAGACCUCCAUUUCCUUUGAUGUGGACAAAGAGUGCUUCAACUCGAUGCCUAUGCCUCAUUCAUUGAACAAUGGCAUUAUCCAUUAUUUGGAGAGUCUUGAGGCCAUUUAUGUUUGAUAUUGUCCAGCGCAUUAACCUCUUUUGAAGAGUUUGAUGUCUGGGAAUUGGAUGAAAAAUACUCUCAGUGGUCUUUCACAUACCAUAUGAAUCUUGAUUACUUGAGAGCUGCAUUGUGCGGUAGGUAUCAGAUUCCCAGCCAUAGGUUUGAGGCCUGGAUUUUGAGUGUUGUUCCUGGUGCGAACAAAGAGGUGCCAGAAGUUGUGUUGCUGGUGUUUGGUAUGGUUGUUUCCUACAAUUUGAAAAAUGGAACCCUUAAGAAACUUAUGGGUUUGGUUCCUUGUCAAGAGGCUGCUGUUCAUAAUAUAAAGUGUCAUUGGUACAGUGUGUUUCCAUUCAUACAAACUCUCUCUCCCAUAUGAGAACCUAACUUCUCUGCAGUUCUCUUUUGGGUAUGUAUACGCUUUUUUUUACUUUUAUUGCUUUCUCUUUUGUAUGUAAUUUAACUUGCUUUCUCUUGGGCUCUUGGCAAUGGUUUCUCUCCUUUCCUCCUCCAUGCACGAUUGUACUCUAUGUUUCUUUAAAUAUGUGCAUUUGUGCUUUCUCCUUUACAUUUAAAUAUUCAACACAGUUUUUUACAAUAUAUAAUUAUGAAUCCUUGAAGAUGGUCUUUUUUUUUUUUUUUCCUCCCACCAUCAAGCAGACAUGACUUGAGAAGAUAAUAUCACAUAUUGGUGUGUGACCUUGUUAUUUUGAUAGUUUCAAGUUUAUUAUUUUUCUAGAUAUACAACAGUGAUGUAUGUGAUGUUGCAAUGUGUAUACAAAAAAGUGAGUUUGGCAAAUGAAGAUAAUGACACUUUCUAAACAAAAAAGUGAUGUGAUUUUGGAAAGUAUUCCUGAAGGUAGCUUAUUCAUUCUUUUCUUUCUUAUAAAUUGCUUAUAGUGUGAAUGUUGUUAGCACUUGCUAAUGAAGCAAUAAAUAUCAUAAAUAAGAUUGAGUGAAUUGCAGAGUUCAGAUUUAUGCACAAAACUCGAGUACAUUUUCUGCUGAACAGUGAAAAGGUGUUGUUAUCUAUGGCAAUUUUGUAUAUUGCAAGACAGUUGGAAGUUAU
Rosa chinensis is the source of this 1971-nucleotide long non-coding RNA. RefSeq lists it as uncharacterized. The record is from RefSeq and is a predicted model, not a curated record. Lineage: Eukaryota; Viridiplantae; Streptophyta; Magnoliopsida; Rosales; Rosaceae. The transcript is spliced from 3 exons.